Molecule: long non-coding RNA, 1314 nt
Filed under: Eptatretus burgeri (inshore hagfish)
Lineage: Eukaryota; Metazoa; Chordata; Myxini; Myxiniformes; Myxinidae
Description: lncRNA (ENSEBUG00000017458.1)
Source: RNAcentral
GAGGGCCACGGCAGCACUUUCCGACGGGGUAGACAUUCAGUGUGCCCAUUGAAAGUGCCGAUCCUUUCCCCCUCCCAAUGGAAACCGAAUUUGAGCUGGUGUAUUCAUUACGUCAGCUUUCUUUCCUGAUUCAAAAUCUCCACUUUCGAACCGUUUCAAAUGGUGGAUUUUCCAGCGAAUCCUUUUCACACACCAUAUAUAUUCCAGAGUUCACCAUGGCCAGACCAACAAUCUCCAGAGUACCUUCAGGUUGCGCAUGACUGGAACUGCUCAUCUCAUCCUGAACAACAUGUUCGUCCACUUCCACAAGCUUUCACUGGCGAUCCUACUCACGGUCUCCUACUCAAUCGUUCAGGGUGCCGGCGCAGCCGGGGCCUCUCGGGCAGUCUCCUCAGGACUGUGCGAAGCACUUCCAUGGAUGAUGGAUGAUCUCGAAAUUAUUUCAUGGGAAGUGUGGAGCCAACACCAGUGUCAAUUGGUUCCACAUGAUCUCAUCAAAAACAAUUUGCCCAGGAUUCACCAGCUCUCAAGGAUGAGGAUGGAUAACUGCCUCAUGGAGAAAUCGGUUGCGGACAUGUACAUUCCCUUCAUGGAGCAAUUGCCCAAGAAAAACUCUGAUCGUGACCUUAAGAAGAAAAAAGUGCUCCACACCAUGGUCCACGUGUCUGAAAACAACUGUGUAAACACCGAGCCACAACAUCGAAUGACCAAGAGAGUUUUGAAUGAGUUGGCGAAACGCAAGGAAGAAGUGCAAAAUGCGAACAAGCAUGAAAUCUGCUCCGCCGCAAAUGGCCUGAGGAAGUUGAAGAAACUGUGUCCUGAAAAAUAUUGAAGAAGAAAAAAGAAGAUUAGGAUUGUCGUCGACAAAUAAAUGAAUAAAAAAAAUUGUAGAGGGAGGCGACAUGUUGAAAGUUAUGUGUUUAAGUGAAGCGACGACUUGUAUGUUUACAAUUCAGUUUUAUAGUUCAUAGGAUGAUGAUAAAACAUGGGUUGAUGGGACUAAAUCACGUGAUACACCGUGAGGUUAAAAAAAAAAAAGGACAAAAUACUCAUCGUACCUCAUUAUAUUUUGUAACUUAUUCACCUCAGUGCUUAUUUAUUGUUGUGCUUCUGUAUUUAUUUGAAUUCACUAUGAAACAAUGUCAACCAAAGACCGUACGUGGCUGUACAAGAAGGUAUUUUUUUUUAAUGGAAAAUUAAUUUAUUUAAAUUAUAUUUAUGAACGUGAUAUUUGUUUGAACUGAUAAUUUAUUAAUAAUUUAUUUCCCUUAAUUUAUACCCUACGAUGGAAACGGUAAUUCUUUUACAUACGAU